UGCACAGGAAACUUCCUGAGCCACAAAAGAAACUCAAAAUCACUCAGCUAUCCCUGCAAGCCAAACCUGGACUGGGUAGAGAGGCCUGGUAAUACGUGCCCGGGGGUGGCAGCUAAGCAUGAAGCAUUAAAUCACAAGGCUGAGCCCAGUGGUACAGAGGACUGAAACUGCUGACAGGGCUGAGGCACUUUGGACCCAUGGCGUACUGGAGUUACUGGGAUCUCGAGAACCUCCUGAAGGAGAUCUCCAUACAAGGUGACAUGAUUUACUCCUGCUCAUUUCUGGCGGAGGUAAAUUAUAAGGAGGUAUAAGAGGGCGGAAAAAGAAAUGAAGACAGCUGAGUCAUUCUAAGAAGAAAGCAUGCAUUUUUCUUUCUGGUGCAAACCAGUUGACUUGAGUGUCACUUUCAGAGUUCACUUGCUCCUUGAAGGCACAAUGAACCAAAGGACAGCAGCUGAUUACACAACCUCUCCAGUCCCUAAUAAUCAUGUGCAUCCAGCAGGAGGAAUUGUCUCUCCACCUUGCAGACAAGACAUGCUAACAGUGUAAUAGUUUUAAUUUGUCCUUGUCCACACUGACCACUGAGUCAUGUUGACUGACAUGACUCCCUGGCAUUGUAUUCUGGCACUGCGAAUGAAGGCAAAGCCGUAGCCCUUUGGGACUGGGACUCAUUUGCUAAAUGUUGGCAUAGAACCUGGCACAACUGUGCUCCAACAUGGUUUAACUUCAGGUGCUACCACAAAAUAAAUAACAA
Molecule: long non-coding RNA, 754 nt
Organism: Alligator sinensis (Chinese alligator)
Lineage: Eukaryota; Metazoa; Chordata; Crocodylia; Alligatoridae
Exons: 4
Source: RefSeq, a predicted model, not a curated record